GCUCAGUGGUAGAGCACUUGCCUAGCAAGCAUGAGGCCCUGGGUUUAAUACCCAG
This 55-nucleotide transfer RNA is filed under the name Heterocephalus glaber (naked mole-rat). It matches the Rfam family "tRNA", at positions 10 to 63 of the family's 71-position model. From Rfam's summary of the family: Transfer RNA (tRNA) molecules are approximately 80 nucleotides in length. Lineage: Eukaryota; Metazoa; Chordata; Mammalia; Rodentia; Bathyergidae. The record is from Rfam by way of RNAcentral.